CCAUGCUCUCCUUUUCCUUUUCCAAUUCAUCCCUAGUUCUUCUUUUCUUUUUUUCUUUCAGAAGAAAUAAAAUAAUAAUUUAUUAAUUCACAGAGAGAUAAGGGAAGAUGAAAAGAAGUACAGAAGGCAAACCUUUUGCGGACGUUAACUCUCUUGCCGCUGUCGCGCUCUUUCGUUAAUUUACUUUUUGGCCUACCGUGGCGCCUCCUCUCGUGCAUGUGCUUCUACUUUUCUCUGCUUCGGCGCCCUACUUCUUUCUUCUUCUCAGCCGGUCUGCUCUGCCUCUUCUUCCCCCAUUUAUUCUUUUUGUUGCUUAUGUUUUAAUUUUUGUUGUUGAUCGAUGUGAUGUUGUUGCAUAUUUAUUGUUGCCACUGCUAUGAUAUUGGCUUGAGCAUGAUUAUCGGAUGUUUACAUAAAUUAAUAUGAAUUUGAUAGUUUAAUUAUUGUUUGCAAUGAUGAUGAUGUUGUUGUUAUUGUGAAUUUGAAGAAGAAGAAGAACAGGGUGAAGAAGAGAAUUGGUGAAGGUAAUUGGAGAUUAUGUUUUUUUUAAAUAAAUAUAAAACAACGUCGUGUUGGAGAUUAGGAUUUUUUUUGUAUAAAUACAAAGCGACGUCGUUUCAGUCCUUCCGAUGGUAAGGAUGAACGGAAAUUAUUUUAGGGACUACUAUGAGUCCCGGAAAAUCUCAUAAAAAAAAAUCAAGCACCUUGAUUCUUAUGAAGUGUUCACUGAAAUAAUGACGCAUAUCAAAGGUAGCGAAGCAACAAAGACAGGUAAUAUAAGCCGCAAGGACUAUCUCAAUCUGUCUAAAAACAGAAGAUCAAGUUUGAGCGUGCGAAAAAGGGACUUGAUCUAUGAUAUCUUCGAAAACUAUGAGAACAUGAAGAUGAGCAAGGGAGAGUUUGAUAUUACUGAUUUUGUAAGCGACCUACAAAGAAGGUAUCUGCCCGAAUGUAGAGGAAGGUUUUGUUUUCUGUGGGGAUACGGCGCAGACAAUUGGACGAGGGAUCAAUUUUAGGUUCCAGGAUGUAAGGGCCCUCUUCUACAACAAGUUUUUGUUAGAGUCAAAGAGUUGGAACGAUGAGAAAUAUAAAGAGAAGGGUCAUAUUUCUUAUAUGUUCAUGUUAAUUGUUAAGUGAGAACUUUCACAGUAAUGCCAAGGUUCUUAAGUUGUCACAAAGUAUCAUUGAGCUUCUCUACCAUUUCUUCCCCCAUUCUGUGGAUAUUUUGAAGGUUGAAAGCAGUUUGAUAACUGGGGAAUCCCCCUUUUUAGGAAAUUGGAUUGAACAAUUUUUGGUAAAAAUAGAUAUGAUAAGAAUUUGAAUUCGAGGCGAUUGUGGUCCGCGAUGAUGAAACUCGAAAGGAAAUCUUGCCUCUUGUAGGGGAAAAAACUCUUGUUUUGACCAUUUUGGAGUGCAAAGGGCUUCAAUUCAAGGAUGUAUUACUGUACAACUUUUUAUCAACUUCUCCUUUGAAAAGACAAUGGAGAGUUGUAUACCAAUACACGAAGGAAAAGCAUGUAUUUUGUGCAAGUUUUGAUGAAACUAAGCACAAUGUUUUGUGCUCUGAACUUAAGCAAUUACAUGUUGCUAUAACAAGGACAAAGAAUAGAUUGUGGAUAUGUGAGGAUAAAGAAGAAUUUUCAAGACCUAUGAUCGAUUAUUGGAAAAAGAAGAAUCUUGUCCAAUUAAAGGACCAACCUAAGGCUUAUUAUUAUUGAGGCAUUGAAGAAUUACUCAACAAAUUCACAAGCGUGGAUUAAGCUAUAUAAUCAAAAUAAUUAUAGCAUGGCUACCGUGUGUGUGUUUUGUAAGAGCCGGGGACGAUUAUUGGUUGAAAAAGUGUAAAGAUGCCGCUCUUAAUGCAAUGCAAAUAUUGUUUAAUUUGCAACAAGAGAUUAUUAAUGAAGAGUGGACUCUUGUUGUCAAGUGUUUCUUUUUUCCUUUUCUGUUUAUGGCGAACUUGAAAGAGCUUGGUGUUUCAUCACAAAAGACAAAAGUGGUUAACGGCUAAUUCUAAGGCGUGGUUUGGCAUCCACCAUGAUCCACAACAAAGUGUAUGGUGGUGCCUCCUUUUUUUUUUCCCCUAAGAGGUACCAUAAAAUUCGACAUUAUAUGAGUCCAUCUAUAAAAUCAACUAUUUAUCGGUCAAUGAGUUAACUUUUAUGAAAUCUUAUUUUAACGUUAAUAUAACAUUUGCAAGUGAAAUAAAAUAUUAAGAACAAAAAAUAUGUCGAAUUCAUUUAUUUUAGGUAUAGCGCCCAAAAUUAAAGAUAAAUAUAUUUACACAAAAUGAAGUAUUGAUAGAGAUAUAUAAAUUACCCUAUUUUCCAUGCAUUUUGUUAAUGUUACAAGUGUAGAUACAAUGGAUAGAGACUCAAUACAAUGUUUGAAGAAAAGCAAAAUUAGCUUGAAAUUGAUACAAUACAUGAUGAGAAAAAAACAAGCAAAAUUAGCUUGAAAUUGAUACAAUACAUG
Molecule: long non-coding RNA, 2475 nt
Organism: Arachis ipaensis
Lineage: Eukaryota; Viridiplantae; Streptophyta; Magnoliopsida; Fabales; Fabaceae
Source: RefSeq, a predicted model, not a curated record